AGUGAACGCUGGCGGCAGGCCUAACACAUGCAAGUCGAACGGCAGCACAAGAGAGCUUGCUCUCUGGGUGGCGAGUGGCGGACGGGUGAGGAAUGCAUCGGAAUCUGCCCAUUUGUGGGGGAUAACCUCGGGAAACCGGGACUAAUACCGCAUACGACCUACGGGUGAAAGCAGGGGAUCUUCGGACCUUGCGCAGAUGGAUGAGCCGAUGCCGGAUUAGCUAGUUGGAGGGGUAAAGGCCCACCAAGGCGACGAUCCGUAGCUGGUCUGAGAGGAUGAUCAGCCACACUGGGACUGAGACACGGCCCAGACUCCUACGGGAGGCAGCAGUGGGGAAUAUUGGACAAUGGGCGCAAGCCUGAUCCAGCCAUGCCGCGUGUGUGAAGAAGGCCUUCGGGUUGUAAAGCACUUUUGUUGGGAAAGAAAAGCAGCCGGUUAAUACCCGGUUGUCAUGACGGUACCCAAAGAAUAAGCACCGGCUAACUUCG
RNAcentral lists this ribosomal RNA (488 nucleotides) under uncultured bacterium. Its description in RNAcentral is "partial 16S ribosomal RNA". It matches the Rfam family "Bacterial small subunit ribosomal RNA", at positions 29 to 505 of the family's 1533-position model. The record is from RNAcentral.